RNAcentral lists this ribosomal RNA (1447 nucleotides) under uncultured organism. RNAcentral describes it as "SSU rRNA". It matches the Rfam family "Bacterial small subunit ribosomal RNA". The record is from RNAcentral.
GAACGCUAGCUGCAGGCUUAACACAUGCAAGUCGAGGGGCAGCAUGGUCUUAGCUUGCUAAGGCCGAUGGCGACCGGCGCACGGGUGAGUAACACGUAUCCAACCUGCCGUCUACUCUUGGACAGCCUUCUGAAAGGAAGAUUAAUACAAGAUGGCAUCAUGAGUCCACAUGUUCACAUGAUUAAAGGUAUUCCGGUAGACGAUGGGGAUGCGUUCCAUUAGAUAGUAGGCGGGGUAACGGCCCACCUAGUCUUCGAUGGAUAGGGGUUCUGAGAGGAAGGUCCCCCACAUUGGAACUGAGACACGGUCCAAACUCCUACGGGAGGCAGCAGUGAGGAAUAUUGGUCAAUGGGCGAGAGCCUGAACCAGCCAAGUAGCGUGAAGGAUGACUGCCCUAUGGGUUGUAAACUUCUUUUAUAAAGGAAUAAAGUCGGGUAUGGAUACCCGUUUGCAUGUACUUUAUGAAUAAGGAUCGGCUAACUCCGUGCCAGCAGCCGCGGUAAUACGGAGGAUCCGAGCGUUAUCCGGAUUUAUUGGGUUUAAAGGGAGCGUAGAUGGAUGUUUAAGUCAGUUGUGAAAGUUUGCGGCUCAACCGUAAAAUUGCAGUUGAUACUGGAUAUCUUGAGUGCAGUUGAGGCAGGCGGAAUUCGUGGUGUAGCGGUGAAAUGCUUAGAUAUCACGAAGAACUCCGAUUGCGAAGGCAGCCUGCUAAGCUGCAACUGACAUUGAGGCUCGAAAGUGUGGGUAUCAAACAGGAUUAGAUACCCUGGUAGUCCACACGGUAAACGAUGAAUACUCGCUGUUUGCGAUAUACAGCAAGCGGCCAAGCGAAAGCGUUAAGUAUUCCACCUGGGGAGUACGCCGGCAACGGUGAAACUCAAAGGAAUUGACGGGGGCCCGCACAAGCGGAGGAACAUGUGGUUUAAUUCGAUGAUACGCGAGGAACCUUACCCGGGCUUAAAUUGCAGAUGAAUUACGGUGAAAGCCGUAAGCCGCAAGGCAUCUGUGAAGGUGCUGCAUGGUUGUCGUCAGCUCGUGCCGUGAGGUGUCGGCUUAAGUGCCAUAACGAGCGCAACCCUUGUUGUCAGUUACUAACAGGUUCCGCUGAGGACUCUGACAAGACUGCCAUCGUAAGAUGUGAGGAAGGUGGGGAUGACGUCAAAUCAGCACGGCCCUUACGUCCGGGGCUACACACGUGUUACAAUGGGGGGUACAGAGGGCCGCUACCACGCGAGUGGAUGCCAAUCCCCAAAACCUCUCUCAGUUCGGACUGGAGUCUGCAACCCGACUCCACGAAGCUGGAUUCGCUAGUAAUCGCGCAUCAGCCACGGCGCGGUGAAUACGUUCCCGGGCCUUGUACACACCGCCCGUCAAGCCAUGGGAGUCGGGGGUACCUGAAGUGCGUAACCGCGAGGAGCGCCCUAGGGUAAAACUGGUGACUGGGGCU